AACGAACGCUGGCGGCAUGCCUAACACAUGCAAGUCGAACGGAAACGCCCUGCUUUUUUGCGCUUACCGGGGGCCGGACGGGUGAGUAACACGUAUGUAACGUACCCUUCACUUUGGGGUAAGUUCAGGAAGCUAAAGCUACUCUCAGACAGGAUCUCACGCUCGAUGGUGGGCGUGGGAUCGUUUCGGCUGUUGGGGAUGGACUGGCGGCUGAUGAGCUUGUUGGUUGGGUAGUGGCUUACCAAGGCAUUGACGGGUCGCCGGCCUGGGAGGGUGGCCGGCCACAAUACGCCUGCGAUACGGCCCAGACGCCAACGGGAGGCAACGGGGGGGAGUAUUGUACAGUGAGCGGAAGCCGGAUGCAGAGACGCCGCGUGCGGAAAGACGGCCUGCGGGUAGUGAACCGCAUUCGCUUGAGACGAAGCGUGAGUGACGGUAACGGGUAAAUAAGCACCGGCUAACUACGUG
This 468-nucleotide ribosomal RNA is filed under the name uncultured bacterium. Its description in RNAcentral is "partial 16S ribosomal RNA". It matches the Rfam family "Bacterial small subunit ribosomal RNA", at positions 28 to 507 of the family's 1533-position model. The record is from RNAcentral.